RNAcentral lists this ribosomal RNA (253 nucleotides) under uncultured bacterium. Its description in RNAcentral is "partial 16S ribosomal RNA". It matches the Rfam family "Bacterial small subunit ribosomal RNA", at positions 524 to 776 of the family's 1533-position model. The record is from RNAcentral.
UACGUAGGCAGCAAGCGUUGUUCGGAGUUACUGGGCGUAAAGAGUGCGUAGGUGGUGCCCUAAGUCUGUUGUGAAAUCUCCCGGCUUAACUGGGAGGGUGCGGUGGAAACUGGGGUGCUUGAGUGUGGGAGAGGUAAGCGGAAUUCCAGGUGUAGCGGUGAAAUGCGCAGAUAUCAGGAGGAACACCGGUGGCGAAGGCGGGUCUCUGGGCCGAUAUUGACGCUGAGGAGCGAAAGCGUGGGGAGCGAACAGG